GAUACUGGAAUUACCCAGACACCAAAAUACCUGGUCACAGCAAUGGGGAGUAAAAGGACAAUGAAACGUGAGCAUCUGGGACAUGAUUCUAUGUAUUGGUACAGACAGAAAGCUAAGAAAUCCCUGGAGUUCAUGUUUUACUACAACUGUAAGGAAUUCAUUGAAAACAAGACUGUGCCAAAUCACUUCACACCUGAAUGCCCUGACAGCUCUCGCUUAUACCUUCAUGUGGUCGCACUGCAGCAAGAAGACUCAGCUGCGUAUCUCUGCACCAGCAGCCAAGA
Molecule: long non-coding RNA, 284 nt
Filed under: Homo sapiens (human)
Lineage: Eukaryota; Metazoa; Chordata; Mammalia; Primates; Hominidae
Description: non-protein coding lnc-MGAM2-8:1
Source: RNAcentral